CUCUCUAUCUUCUUCUCCCUCUCCCUUCUUCUCUCUCUCGACAAAUUGCAGACAUUCUCAAUCUGUCGUCGUCGUCUCCCAUCUUACCAGCCACCGCUGCCUUUGUAUAGUCGCCUCGCCGGAGCUAGCUACUGCUCCUUUGAUUUCCCCGGAAGAGGACGCUGCUGUCGCGCUGCUGUUCCGUCGCCGCCGGGAAGAGCUUCUGCUGGCUGCGUCGUCUACACAGCCGUCCAGCCGAGCCGCCUUCGCCGUCAGACGCCGGGAGAUGCUGUUGUCGCCGCCUGGAGAUGCCGCUGUAGCCGCUGCUCCGCCCCGGAACAUCACCGCCACCGCUGCUGGAUCGUUGCCGCCGGAAGAGCUGCUGUCGCGUCGGGAAGACGCGGCUCGCCGAUGGUCGUGCAGCCCCGCACAACCCCGAAAUUCUCGAUUUAAAUCUUGUAGGUAGGUUCUUACUUGAUUUGGUGAAAUAAGGUUCAAUUCUUUAACACUAUCUGUCGAUAUGGGUUAUCUGCUUAUGUUGAGUUCUUGAUAUUGCCCACCUUCUGCAAAAUUUGAUCUUGAAAGUGAUUUAUAUUUUGCUAGAUAUAUUUGCAACCUAGACAUGGUUAUGGUUUCUGUUUGGCAUUCUGCCGAGAUGAGGAAAGAAUCAAAACGCCAAAGAUAGGAGAUAAUAACCCCGAGAAUUUUGAGAUACAUUUGCAGCAUUGGUUGCCUUGGUUCGGUUUUACUUUAUUUACUUCGAUUUUGAGUUUCGAUUGGUGCAACAAAGUGAUAUGUUCUAGCAGAUUACGGAGGAGGAAAAACUCAUCGCGGAGGAGGAAAAUCUCUACAUAAUAUUUAAUUAAACUAGUUAAUUUACAGUCCAUUGUAUUUUAUUUUAAAUUGUGCAGUCCACGAUUUAUUCAUCACGGACUGGAUUUCUAUAUUAUUUAUCCAAUUUAUUCGAUUCA
Salvia splendens (bonfire salvia) is the source of this 950-nucleotide long non-coding RNA. RefSeq lists it as uncharacterized. Lineage: Eukaryota; Viridiplantae; Streptophyta; Magnoliopsida; Lamiales; Lamiaceae. The record is from RefSeq and is a predicted model, not a curated record. The transcript has 2 exons.